GACGGACGCUGGCGGCGUGCCUAAUACAUGCAAGUCGAGCGGGCCAGAACAGAGGGCAACCAGAGUUCUGGUUUAGCGGCGCACGGGUGAGUAACGCGUAGGUAAUCUACUCAGAAGACCGGGAUAACACCUCGAAAGGGGUGCUAAUACUGGAUACGCUCUUUCUCUCGACGGAGGGGAAGAGGAAAGGUGGCGCAAGGCGCAAGCCUGCUACCACUUCGGAAUGAGCCUGCGUCCUAUUAGCUAGUUGGUAGGGUAAUUGCCUACCAAGGCUAUGAUGGGUAGCUGGUCUGAGAGGACGGUCAACCACACUGGGACUGAGACAUGGCCCAGACUCCUACGGGAGGCAGCAUG
This 354-nucleotide ribosomal RNA is filed under the name uncultured bacterium. Its description in RNAcentral is "bacterial SSU rRNA". It matches the Rfam family "Bacterial small subunit ribosomal RNA", at positions 28 to 354 of the family's 1533-position model. The record is from RNAcentral.